Molecule: long non-coding RNA, 142 nt
Organism: Peromyscus leucopus (white-footed mouse)
Lineage: Eukaryota; Metazoa; Chordata; Mammalia; Rodentia; Cricetidae
Exons: 2
Source: RefSeq, a predicted model, not a curated record
CUUCCAGUCUGAGGAAACAGGAUCAGCUGAGGAACUGGCGAGAGUCUUCCACCGAGCCUGAAGCUCACUGGUUUGGCAAGAUUAGCUAACCACAGACUCCAAGGCUGCUCUGUGUCCACCUCCUCACUGCUAGGAUUACAGG